Molecule: ribosomal RNA, 1229 nt
Filed under: metagenome
Description: SSU rRNA
Rfam family: Eukaryotic small subunit ribosomal RNA
Source: RNAcentral
UUAUCGGAAUGAGAACAAUUCAAAUCCUUUAACGAGGAUCUAGCGGAGGGCAAGUCUGGUGCCAGCAGCCGCGGUAAUUCCAGCUCCGCAGGUGUAUAUCUAUGCUGCUGCGGUUAAAAAGCUCGUAGUUGGAUCUGCGUGCUCGGAACUGGUUGGCUCACUGAGUUCAAACUGGUCUCCGGCGCUUUAUUGGCUGGUUUUCCCUUGAUGCUCUUAACCGGGUGUCUUGGGUGGCUAGCACGUUUACUUUGAAAAAAAUUAGAGUGCUCAAUACAGGCGUAAAGCCUUGAAUAGUGGUGCAUGGAAUAAUAGAAUAGGACCUCGGCUCUAUUUUGUUGGUUUUCGGAACGCGAGGUAAUGAUUAAGAGGGACAGACGGGGGCAUUCGUAUUGCGACGUUAGAGGUGAAAUUCUUGGAUCGUCGCAAGACGGACGACUGCGAAAGCAUUUGCCAAGGAUGUUUUCAUUAAUCAAGAACGAAAGUUAGAGGUUCGAAGGCGAUCAGAUACCGCCCUAGUUCUAACCGUAAACGAUGCCAACUAGCGAUUCGCAGGCGUUAAACAACGACCUUGCGGGCAGCUUCCCGGAAACGAAAGUGUUCGGGUUCCGGGGGAAGUAUGGUUGCAAAGCUGAAACUUAAAGGAAUUGACGGAAGGGCACCACCAGGAGUGGAGCCUGCGGCUUAAUUUGACCCAACACGGGAAAACUCACCCGGCCCGGACACCGUAAGGAUUGACAGAUUGAGAGCUCUUUCUUGAUUCGGUGGGUGGUGGUGCAUGGCCGUUCUUAGUUGGUGGAGCGAUUUGUCUGGUUUAUUCCGAUAACGAACGAGACUCUGGCCUACUAAAUAGUGGGCGGAUUCUUUCUGUCCGCAACACUUCUUAGAGGGACAAGCGGUGUUCAGCCGCACGAGAUUGAGCAAUAACAGGUCUGUGAUGCCCUUAGAUGUCCGGGGCUGCACGCGCGCUACACUGAAGGAAUCAGCGUGCUUUCUGACCUUGCCCGAAAGGGCUGGGUAACCCGAUGAAAAUCCUUCGUGAUUGGGAUAGGGACUUGCAAUUAUUUCCCUUGAACGAGGAAUUCCCAGUAAGUGUGGGUCAUAAGCUCGCGUUGAUUACGUCCCUGCCCUUUGUACACACCGCCCGUCGCUGCCCGGAACUGAGCCGUUUCGAGAAGAACAGGGACCGUCGUUGAAGGGCCUUAACGGGCUUUUCUCUGAUAGAAACUGUU